Molecule: ribosomal RNA, 346 nt
Filed under: uncultured bacterium
Lineage: Bacteria
Description: partial 16S ribosomal RNA
Rfam family: Bacterial small subunit ribosomal RNA
Source: RNAcentral
GGGCGAAAGCCUGACGGAGCAACGCCGCGUGAGUGAUGAAGGUCUUCGGAUCGUAAAACUCUGUUAUUAGGGAAGAACAUACGUGUAAGUAACUAUGCACGUCUUGACGGUACCUAAUCAGAAAGCCACGGCWUAACUACGUGCCAGCAGCCGCGGUAAUACGUAGGWRRMAARNGUUAUCCGGAAUUAUUGGGCGUAAAGCACGCGUAGGCGGUUUUUUAAGUCUGAUGUGAAAGCCCACGGCUCAACCGUGGAGGGUCAUUGGAAACUGUAAAACUUGAGUGCAGAAGAGGAAAGUGGAAUUCCAUGUGUAGCGGUGAAAUGCGCAGAGAUAUGGAGGAACACC